This 338-nucleotide ribosomal RNA is filed under the name uncultured Pseudomonadota bacterium. RNAcentral's name for it is "bacterial SSU rRNA". It matches the Rfam family "Bacterial small subunit ribosomal RNA", at positions 29 to 351 of the family's 1533-position model. Lineage: Bacteria; Pseudomonadati; Pseudomonadota. The record is from RNAcentral.
AAUGAACGCUGGCGGCGUGCCUAACACAUGCAAGUCGCACGAGAAAGGGGGCUUCGGCUCCCGAGUAAAGUGGCGCACGGGUGAGUAACGCGUAGGUAACCUACCCCCGGGUUCGGGAUAACAGUGCGAAAGCGCUGCUAAUACCGGAUACGACAUACGAGCGGGAGCACGUAUGUGAAAGUCGGCCUCUCGAAGAAGCUGAUGUUCGGGGAUGGGCCUGCGUCCUAUCAGCUAGUUGGUAGGGUAACGGCCUACCAAGGCGACGACGGGUAGCUGGUCUGAGAGGAUGAUCAGCCACACUGGCACUGAAACACGGGCCAGACUCCUACGGGAGGCUG